GGAGGGUUAGCUCAGUUAGUUGAGCGUAGCGCUAACAACGCUAAAGUCGCGGGUUCGUUUCCCUUUCAGUCCC
This 73-nucleotide transfer RNA is filed under the name Apaloderma vittatum (bar-tailed trogon). It matches the Rfam family "tRNA". From Rfam's summary of the family: Transfer RNA (tRNA) molecules are approximately 80 nucleotides in length. Their secondary structure includes four short double-helical elements and three loops (D, anti-codon, and T loops). Lineage: Eukaryota; Metazoa; Chordata; Aves; Trogoniformes; Trogonidae. The record is from Rfam by way of RNAcentral.